GCUGCGUUUUCCUUUUGUUUGUGCAAUGAUAAGGAUAGUUUCAACUUUGCCUGGUCUCAUUAUUUUACACAGACAAGAAAUUAAAACAGACUCUCUCCUUAUUUCCUGAACGAAUAUGUAGUUAUUUGCGAAUCCGUUUAUCUGAUACUUGUAGGAAAAGUGGCAGUUUUUACCUGAAAAUACUACACCUGCAGUUGGUUGAAGAAUGCAAAUAUUAACUGAGUUAUUUGAAAACCUUUAAGUUCUCCGGUGGGAGAUCAGUAAGUCCAUGGCAUCACAAUGCUAAAAUUCAGGGUUCGAUUCCUCUCGGUGGACAAAGCAGAUAACUCAAAGUGGCUUUGCUCUAAAAUAACCACACCAAAACCUGAAAAAGGAGAAUUUUUUAUGUUGGAUGACAUUUUAGUAUACGUGUUUGUUCAUAUGAUUGUUAUUAUAGCAAAAUCAAAAAAAUUCGAUUCUGUUUUAAAAAUGGAAAACAUUGAUUCAUAACUGUGACGUCAUGUGCACCACGUGGUUAAUUUGUAAUUUAUCGAACGUGAAUGUGGUACACGGAAGUAAAUUCAUUAGUUGCGAAAAAAUAGAUGCUUCUUUGACAAGCAAUUUACCAACAUGAAAAUCAUGUUUUCUUGUUUGCGUGAUAUUUGGAGAGGCAGGAUAUCCCAAUUGCCUUUUGGGUGAUAUCCACACUUAUCUUUGUGGAAUUGUAUCCUUUACAUUUUUUUGCAUCUGGUACUUCUUGGAAGUGUCAUGUAUCUAAGAAAUUGUUAGCAACAUGUAAACAGUCAUGUAGGAUGUUAUAUACAGCAUACGUCUUUUUAUGUGUUUGAAGUCACUCGGGUGGAAAGAAUACCUUCUCUGUCACUUGAAAGUUAUUCAUAGUAUAUAGCAUUGACUUCUAUGAUUUUUCUUUUACAAUAUGGAGUGGUUGGAGCCAUUAGCAAAAGCUGUAAAAAUAUAAUUUUGCAAUUUGAAUAAAAUCAGAUUUUACUAUUCAGUUUUUUUGCUCUCGUUGUUCUUUCCGUUCUAAAAUUAUAUGGCUAAGUUGAAAAACACAUGGAGCAAUAAUAAAAAUUGUUCAAAGUUUUGGAUUUUGUGAUUUGUAUAUUUGAAAGUACAAGUAAUGUAGAAACAGUUAUAAAAUUUAACUCUAAUCCAGUUUGUUAUAAGAUGUUUUUGUUUGUUAGAUAGUGUUUUGAUAAAAUGAGUAGAGAGAUCAAAUAUAAAUCAAAUUUUGUCAUUAUGUGGUACUGGUGCUCUGAGUGUUACAAAAUGUAUUCAACAAGAAACAUGAUGUAAUACAUUAUUUAUCCUAUUAUGAAAUUAAUAAUGAUAUCAGAGUAAAGGUAGCAACAUAAGGCUAAACAAUAAUUAAUAAAAAGGAUCAUUGAUAUUUUUUCUUGUAUGGAUUCAAAGUCUCUGUCAAUAGCUUAUUUAGUAGGUGAAGUGUGUGUGUAUAAGCAUAUAUCAAACUAGUUUCUCUUGUUUCUGUGCAACUUUUUACUGUGGUGGAUGUUUGUAUGAUUAUAUCUUAGAUUUUCACUCAUUUUGAGCCAAGCAUGGCCUAGUGAUAAGCAAACUGGACUGUGAAUCUGAGGUUCCAUGGUUCCUGUCCCAUUACUGCCCCCCCCCCCACCACCAAAAAAGUGGGCUAGCUACUUUCCCCAUAGUCAAAUAAAAGUAGUCGAAAAUUUGUGAGAAAAUGUCCAGUGCUCAGCCUUGAACACAUGUAUGUUAUUAACUUUUUAGGAACAACCUUCUUUUUGAUAUUUUCUGAAUAGGAUUUAUCUGGUACAAACAUUAAAUUACCAGAAUUAGCCUUCAAGUUAGCAGAUGUCCGAAAGUUUUAAAAAUUGUGGUGGUGCUUGAUAACAAGUUAUUCUUAUUUUAAUUGUUUAUUAUUUUAUAAUUAAGUUCACUGGGAAAUCAUGUAUCAAUGCUUAUUUUUAUUAUAAACAGCUGAAUGUUUACACAAAAGUGUUAUUUUUUAAUUUAUGGUUUUGACUGGAGAGACUAAAUAUAGUAACUUAUGGUGUCUAUUUAGAUUGUAAUAUUAUUUAGUCACGAGUAUGUAUACAAACUUCGAUUGCAUAAUUAUUUUCUAUUUAAAGUUACAAAAACAUUGUAUAUACUCAGUGUGAACAAACUGGGUUAUAAGGUAAAACAGCUUCAAUGAGAGGCUAAUUUAGUUAUAGGAAGUUACCUGUGCUCUUUGUCUCUUAUUUACUUAGUUUUCUGACUGAAUAUAAAAAAUGUGCCAUUCAAUGUUUUGAAUAGUUAUUUCAUAAAGGUUAAUAUUUCUUUCCACAGUAGUUCAAAAAAAGAAACAGGAAAGACCAGGACUUCAUUCAACUCAGUGUCCUGUUUGUUGUCAAUUUUUCAGCAAAAAAAGCAACAUGCAUCGACACUUGAAUGUACAUUUUCCUGAUGCAAGAAAAUAUGAGUGUAGUUCAUGUGGAAAAGGUUUUACAAGAAACGACUCAUUAAAGAAUCACAUUCUUAUUUGUAAGAACUUUUCCCGGUGCAGAGGAAAUGGUUUACCAAGAUGAAUUAUGAACAUGUUACAAUUAUAAUUUGACUACAAUACUAUCUUAAUAAUCUUGGAAUCUUUAAAUUGUGCAUCUUGAGAUACUACAUUUCACUGCAAAAAAAAAAGUGGUCUCUUCAACAGUUGAUUUUUCUGUUUCAUGAUGACUUUUAACUGUUCACUGGCUUUUUUACAUAAGAAAGUUAUAUUUUUUUUUAACAAAACAUAUAAAUCAUUAACAUUUGUAAUGAGUAUUUAUAGAUAAUGUCAUAAAAUAGUUAUAUCUCAAUUUGUGAUCAAUGUGGGCACACACACAACCUGACAAGUUCAGAAAUAUAAAUAUCUUGUUUAAGAAUAGAUCAAGCAGAUAAAUCUGUCAUUGGCUCUUGUAUGAUUCUGUCAAGAUGUUAUUCUAGUUUUAAAUCCACUGGCAAAAGCUUACUGAAGUGGUGAACAGUUAAGAAAAUUUUAAUGCUUCUUAUUUUCCAUCAUUUAACAUUUACCUAUGUAAUGGUCAGUUACCUCAAAAGAAUGCAAAAACUUCAUGAGAAUAUUUCAGUUUUUGACUAGCAUAUAUUUCUAAUUUGAUCCAGUAGCUCAGCAGCUUUUUAUGCUAAAACUGUUUUGAUACCCCUUGUUGGUAAUAGCUUUGACUGAACAAAUAAACAAAAAUUUCUGCAAUAUUAUUGUUUAUGUUUUAUAGUAAUACUAAAUCAAUUGUUUGAAAUUCCAAAACAUAAAAAUGUAAGAAACUCAAUAGGUGUUAAAAAACAAUUUACAGCACAAUCCGAGUUAAUGUUUAAUGUUAUAUCUUGUUGAAUGGUGAUAAAAAUACAUGCUUGUCAGUAUUUUAUACAUAUUUAUUUUUUCAAACACCUUAAUACAAGCUAUCUUGUGAAUAUCAGUAGUUGGAUUAAUAACAUCAUUUUGGUGAUUUAGUGUAUUUUGACAGGUUAAAACACAUGAAGAAUAGCUUGAAUAUUCUGACUAACAAUUCCAAAUAUUGGAGAAUUUGUUUUUAUAAGUCAUCACAUGACAUGGAUAAAAAAUAAAUUAUUAUAUCUUAAAAGCUACAUGUUCCAGGAGAGUACUAAAUUCCUCCUUAGGCACAUUCAAAAUCACCCAUGUCAUUUAGGAAAGUUUAGAGCAAAUCAUUAGACCUAAUAAUGAUAUAGAAGAAAGUUUUAAAAGAGUUCUUCAGUAAAACUACCAGAUUUAGUAUCAUUAUCAGGCAUUUGUUAUUUUUCAUUUCAUAUAUUUGUUAUAAUUUACAGAUAAUGUCAAACUUGGAUGUUUGUUCUUCUUAUUGUUUCAAGUUAAUCUGGAAGUUUCUUGUUAAAUCAGGAAUAUUCACUGGACAGUUUUAAUAUUUAUCUCAAAUAGUUAUUAAUUGUAACCUUAUUUUUAUGGAACUUUGUAACUUAUGUAUCUGAUGGAUUAGAAAUGGAAAUAAAUAAAUACAAGUUUUAUUUGUA
This is a long non-coding RNA of Limulus polyphemus (Atlantic horseshoe crab), 3999 nucleotides long. RefSeq lists it as uncharacterized. The transcript has 4 exons. Lineage: Eukaryota; Metazoa; Arthropoda; Merostomata; Xiphosura; Limulidae. The record is from RefSeq and is a predicted model, not a curated record.